UAGGGAAUCUUCCGCAAUGGGCGAAAGCCUGACGGAGCAACGCCGCGUGAGUGAUGAAGGUCUUCGGAUCGUAAAACUCUGUUAUUAGGGAAGAACAAAUGUGUAAGUAACUAUGCACGUCUUGACGGUACCUAAUCAGAAAGCCACGGCUAACUACGUGCCAGCAGCCGCGGUAAUACGUAUGUGGCAAGCGUUAUCCGGAAUUAUUGGGCGUAAAGCGCGCGUAGGCGGUUUUUUAAGUCUGAUGUGAAAGCCCACUGCUCAAUCGUGGGGGGUCAUUGGAAACUGGAAAACUUGAGUGCAGAAGUGGAAAGUGGAAUUCCAUGUGUAGCGGUGAAAUGCGCAGAGAUAUGGAGGAACAACAGUGGCCAAGGCGACUUUCUGGUCUGUAACUGACGCUGAUGUGCGAAAGCGUGGGGAUCAAACAGG
RNAcentral lists this ribosomal RNA (429 nucleotides) under Actinomycetes bacterium. Its description in RNAcentral is "Actinobacteria bacterium partial 16S ribosomal RNA". It matches the Rfam family "Bacterial small subunit ribosomal RNA", at positions 355 to 776 of the family's 1533-position model. Lineage: Bacteria; Bacillati; Actinomycetota; Actinomycetes. The record is from RNAcentral.